Molecule: transfer RNA, 60 nt
Filed under: Pertya dioica
Lineage: Eukaryota; Viridiplantae; Streptophyta; Magnoliopsida; Asterales; Asteraceae
Description: Myripnois dioica partial tRNA-His
Source: RNAcentral
AUGUAGCCAGGGGAAUCAGGGGAGGGUUUGGAAAAUCCACCCAUGCGGGGAGAUAUAUUU